Molecule: transfer RNA, 72 nt
Filed under: Solanum tuberosum (potato)
Lineage: Eukaryota; Viridiplantae; Streptophyta; Magnoliopsida; Solanales; Solanaceae
Description: tRNA tRNA-Glu
Rfam family: tRNA
About the family: Transfer RNA (tRNA) molecules are approximately 80 nucleotides in length. Their secondary structure includes four short double-helical elements and three loops (D, anti-codon, and T loops). Further hydrogen bonds mediate the characteristic L-shaped molecular structure. tRNAs have two regions of fundamental functional importance: the anti-codon, which is responsible for specific mRNA codon recognition, and the 3' end, to which the tRNAs corresponding amino acid is attached (by aminoacyl-tRNA synthetases). tRNAs cope with the degeneracy of the genetic code in two manners: having more than one tRNA (with a specific anti-codon) for a particular amino acid; and 'wobble' base-pairing, i.e. permitting non-standard base-pairing at the 3rd anti-codon position.
Source: Rfam by way of RNAcentral
UCCGUUAUCGUCCAGCGGUUAGGAUAUCUGGCUUUCACCCAGGAGACCCGGGUUCGAUUCCCGAUAACGGAA